Molecule: ribosomal RNA, 1128 nt
Filed under: Triticum aestivum (bread wheat)
Lineage: Eukaryota; Viridiplantae; Streptophyta; Magnoliopsida; Poales; Poaceae
Description: partial small subunit ribosomal RNA
Source: RNAcentral
AUGAUAUUGAUGCAUGCUGAUAUAUCACAUGUUCAAAACCUUGAAAGUGCUCUAGAAAGAGAGAAAGAUGAAGUAUUUGUAAAAGGGGAUAUCAUCAAGGCAUGGAUAUGCUGUCACGAGCAGAGGAUCAGGCUCAUGUAUGGAAGGAGCAUUGGGCUGCCACUGGUUCCACCAUCAGGACUUUGUGAACUCUCUCUCUCUUCAUGUUGUAUUUCAGAUGGAGCUUUAGCAGUUUGCCUUGAUGUCCUGUCUUCACUGAAAAGAUUGUUCUUAGAUGACAUUAUGACUUUAACUGCCCUUCCUUCAGAAGAGGUCCUCCAACAUUUGACAAAACUUGACUUCUUGUUCAUCACAAGUUGCUGGUGUCUCAAGUCAUUAGGGGGUUUACGUGCUGCCACCUCUCUUUCAGAAGUUAGACUGAGUUCCUGCCCUUCUUUAGAGUUGGAACGUGGAGCAGAAUGUUUGCCAUUAUCCAUUGAGAAGAUCUGUAUAUUUAAGUGUGUGCUUGGAUCUGAAUUCCUCUGCACCGAGUGGCCAAAGAUGAACGAUAUUCUUAUAAGUGAGUGCAGAAGCACCGCAUGUUUGUCUGUUGGUAGUCUCACCUCUGUUGAAUCACUCUCACUGUAUCACUUGCCAGAUUUAUGUAUGCUCGAAGGAUUGUCUUCCCUGCAACUUCACCAUGCACAUUUGAUUGAUGUUCCAAACCUCAACGCCGAGUGUAUCUCCCAGUUUCAAGUCCAGCACUCACUCUAUGUUAGCAGCCCUGCAAUACUCAACAACAUGCUCUCGGCAGAAGGUAUUACAGUUCCAACAUUUCUCUCUCUUGAAAAAUGCAAGGAACCAUUUGUUUCAUUUGAAGAAUCCGCAAAUUUCACAUCUGUCAAGGCCCUGAGAUUCUGUGAUUGUCAAAUGACUUCCCUGCCAACAAAUAUGAAGUGUUUCUCCAAUCUGAAGAGUCUCGACAUCUAUGACUGCCCCAACGUAUCAUCUUUACCAGAACUGCCAUCCUCCCUUCAGCACAUAUGUGUUUGGGGUUGUUCUGAGCUGUUGAAGGAGAGCUGCCGAGCACCUGAUGGAGAAAGUUGGCCAAAGGUCGCGCAUAUCCGCUGGAAGGAAUUUAGAGUAUGA